RNAcentral lists this ribosomal RNA (427 nucleotides) under uncultured bacterium. RNAcentral describes it as "bacterial SSU rRNA". It matches the Rfam family "Bacterial small subunit ribosomal RNA", at positions 355 to 775 of the family's 1533-position model. The record is from RNAcentral.
UGGGGAAUCUUGCGCAAUGGGCGAAAGCCUGACGCAGCAACGCCGCGUGAGCGAAGAAGGCCUUCGGGUUGUAAAGCUCUGUCAGGGGGAAAGAAGGCACCUGGGUUAAUAGCCCAAGGGCUGACGGUACCCCCAAAGGAAGCCACGGCUAACUACGUGCCAGCAGCCGCGGUAAUACGUAGGUGGCAAGCGUUGUCCGGAAUCAUUGGGCGUAAAGAGCGCGUAGGUGGCUUGUCAGGUCUGAUGUGAAAUUUCGGGGCUCAACCACGGACCUGCAUCGGAAACCGGCUUGCUAGAGUCUGGGAGAGGAGAGUGGAAUUCCUGGUGUAGCGGUGAAAUGCGUAGAUAUCAGGAGGAACACCGGUAGCGAAGGCGGCUCUCUGGAACAGUACUGACGCUGAGGCGCGAAAGCUAGGGGAGCGAACAG